This 320-nucleotide ribosomal RNA is filed under the name uncultured Prevotella sp. RNAcentral's name for it is "partial 16S ribosomal RNA". The record is from RNAcentral. Lineage: Bacteria; Pseudomonadati; Bacteroidota; Bacteroidia; Bacteroidales; Prevotellaceae.
GGAGUCUGGUCCGUGUCUCAGUACCAGUGUGGGGGACCUUCCUCUCAGAACCCCUACUGAUCGUCGCCUUGGUGGGCCGUUACCCCGCCAACAAGCUAAUCAGACGCAUCCCCAUCCCAUACCGACGAGUCUUUGUUCCUCAUAAGAUGCCCAACAAGGAAAACAUAGAGUAUUAAUCCGACUUUCGCCGGGCUAUCCUCUGGUAGGGGGAAGGUUGGAUACGCGUUACUCACCCGUGCGCCGGUCGCCAUCUAUCAAAGCAAGCUUCGAUAAUGCUGCCCCUCGACUUGCAUGUGUUAAGCCUGUAGCUAGCGUUCAUC